This 430-nucleotide ribosomal RNA is filed under the name Pseudomonadota bacterium. RNAcentral's name for it is "Proteobacteria bacterium partial 16S ribosomal RNA". It matches the Rfam family "Bacterial small subunit ribosomal RNA", at positions 355 to 776 of the family's 1533-position model. The record is from RNAcentral. Lineage: Bacteria; Pseudomonadati; Pseudomonadota.
UGGGGAAUAUUGGACAAUGGGGGGAACCCUGAUCCAGCCAUGCCGCGUGUGUGAAGAAGGCCUUAUGGUUGUAAAGCACUUUAAGCGAGGAGGAGGGUACUGGUAUUAAUACUACCAGGUACUGGACGUUACUCGCAGAAUAAGCACCGGCUAACUCUGUGCCAGCAGCCGCGGUAAUACAGAGGGUGCGAGCGUUAAUCGGAUUUACUGGGCGUAAAGCGUGCGUAGGCGGCUAAUUGAGUCGGAUGUGAAGUCCCCGUGCUUAACUUGGGGAUUGCAUGCGAUACUGGUUAGCUAGGGUGUGGGGGAGGAUGGUAGAGUUCCAGGUGUGGCGGUGAGAUGCGUAGAGGUCUGGAGGAAUACCGAUGGCGAAGGCAGCGAGCUGGCCUAACACUGACGCUGAGGUACGAAAGCAUAGGGAGCAAACAGG